Morus notabilis is the source of this 97-nucleotide non-coding RNA. The record is from Rfam. NCBI's taxonomy places the organism in Eukaryota, Viridiplantae, Streptophyta, Magnoliopsida, Rosales, Moraceae.
AUCAUCAUAUGAUGAAAUUCGGAAAAAAUCUUAGGACACCUUCCUACACAGCAUUUACUUGCUGUGGAUGAGAAGAACAUUCCAUUCUGAUGAUGAU